MicroRNA precursor from Cavia porcellus (domestic guinea pig), 91 nucleotides. Ensembl annotates it as microRNA 502. Its record names the gene MIR502. The record is from Ensembl. NCBI's taxonomy places the organism in Eukaryota, Metazoa, Chordata, Mammalia, Rodentia, Caviidae.
CUGCCCUGCUCCCUCUCUCUAAUCCUUGCUAUCUGGGUGCUAGUGCUGUCUCAAUGCAAUGUACCUGGGCAAGGGUUCAUAGAGGGUGAGC